This 98-nucleotide ribosomal RNA is filed under the name uncultured bacterium. RNAcentral describes it as "partial 16S ribosomal RNA". The record is from RNAcentral.
CACCGCCCGUCACACCAUGGGAGUCAGUUGGUACCGGAAGCCGGCGAUCGAACCCGCAAGGGGCGCAGCCGUCCAUGGUAUGGCUGGUGACUGGGGUG